GGAGGAAUGGCCGAGUGGUUGAAGGCGGCGGUCUUGAAAACCGCAAGGCCCGCAAGGGUCUCGGGGGUUCGAAUCCCUCUUCCUCCGCCA
Molecule: transfer RNA, 90 nt
Filed under: Bryobacterales bacterium
Lineage: Bacteria; Pseudomonadati; Acidobacteriota; Terriglobia; Bryobacterales
Also listed under: 1 other name
Description: tRNA-Ser
Rfam family: tRNA
About the family: Transfer RNA (tRNA) molecules are approximately 80 nucleotides in length. Their secondary structure includes four short double-helical elements and three loops (D, anti-codon, and T loops). Further hydrogen bonds mediate the characteristic L-shaped molecular structure. tRNAs have two regions of fundamental functional importance: the anti-codon, which is responsible for specific mRNA codon recognition, and the 3' end, to which the tRNAs corresponding amino acid is attached (by aminoacyl-tRNA synthetases). tRNAs cope with the degeneracy of the genetic code in two manners: having more than one tRNA (with a specific anti-codon) for a particular amino acid; and 'wobble' base-pairing, i.e. permitting non-standard base-pairing at the 3rd anti-codon position.
Source: RNAcentral